Molecule: ribosomal RNA, 1122 nt
Filed under: Triticum aestivum (bread wheat)
Lineage: Eukaryota; Viridiplantae; Streptophyta; Magnoliopsida; Poales; Poaceae
Description: partial small subunit ribosomal RNA
Source: RNAcentral
AUGUCUUCCUCCGGCUCCUCCCAGAUCGGCCUCAACAACCAGGUUACGGAGAAGCUCACCCGUACGAACUACGUACUGUGGCGAGUCCAGAUCACGCCGCAGCUAAGGGGAGCUGGCGUCUUCGGCUAUGCCGAUGGCAGCACGCCGGAGCCGGCCCGUUUCCUUCCUGGAAAGGACAAGGACGGCAAGGACUCCACCGAGCCCAACCCUCUCCACCCAAUAUGGGUCUGGGAGGAUCAACAAGUUCUCGGUUAUCUGCUCAACAAUCUCUCCAAAGAGGUGUUGGUGCAGGUGACCGUGAUCACCACGACGCACGUGCUCUGGACAACGCUAGCGGCCAUGUUCUCCUUGCAGUCGCUUAGCCGCAUCAACAACAUCCAUACGGCUCUGCUUCAUGCGCAGAAGGGAACCCAGCCGGUCGCCACUUUCUUCGCCCACAUGCGCGGCUUCGCCGAUGAACUCGCCGCGGCCGGCAAGCCGCUGCAAGACGACGAGAUCGUCUCCUACAUCCUUCACGCGCUGGACAUGGAGUACCAGCCUCUGGUGUCGGCCCUCGAUGCUCGCACCUCUCCCGUCACCCUGGAUGAGCUGUUCACCAUGCUCAGCAAUUUUGACCAGCGCAUGGCGCUCUACCAGGGGGCGGGUGGCUUCAAGUCAUCCGCUAAUGCUGCCUCUCGUGGCCGCGGUGGCCGCCGCGGCGGAGCUUCACGCGGCAAGUCCCGAUCUGGUGGCGGCGGCAACUCCUCCAACAACACCCGCGCUGGACGUUCCCCCUCCACCAACCCGAAGGGACGCGGCGGCGGUGGCGGCCAUGGCUCCAACAGAGCACACCCGGAUGCGCCGCGAUGCCAGAUCUGCGGCAAGCUCGGGCACAACACUCGGGACUGCUGGUACCGUUACGAUGACGAUGAUGACUCCUCCCAGGACGAGGACAAGGUGGCUGCUGCCGCGGAUGGCUCCUACGGCGUCGACACUAAUUGGUAUGUCGAUAGUGGGGCCACCGAACACAUCACCAGCGAGCUCGAGAAGGUGACCACACGGGAGAAAUACCGCGGCAAGGACCAAAUCCACACAGCUAGUGGUGCAGGAUCAGGCAACGAAGAAAGUACUUUAUCGAGGUAG